CCCUUGAUGGUCUGUCCCUCUGGUACAUGGACUGCUAAACCCAGGUCUGAUAUCCUGAUGUGGCCUAAAGACACAACACAAACACAUGAAGGUCUGUAAGAUAGAAGAAAAGUCAGUCAGCAGUGGAUGGAUUCAUGAGGACUGCAAACAGAGCUGAUAAUGAACACCAGCACCAAUGAACUGGUCCCUGCUGGUACCAACGCUCUCAUGUCAUCUCCCGCUGGACAGUUCGGUCAUUCAAGCAGCCCCAUAUUGACCUGCUGCCUUCCUGUUCUGAUGAAUGGAAGAGUGACGGUGAACAGGAACUAGUUUGGCUCUGGACAUGUCAUUGGUCCUGUGUUUCCCGAGUUCUGACCUCCAGAGGUCCUUAAUUCUGGCCGCACUUCUGCUUUCCUUUCAUCAGCCAUUACCCAGCCCUGUUCAAUCAGCCCAUUAGUCUGUGGGUAUAUAAGUCCAUUCAGAUGGUCAGUCAAUGCUAGAGUGCAGAGACUAUGUAGAGCCGGAGUAUUUGUGUUUUGGCUUACCAUCAGUUGAGUGUUUUUUGUUCCUAUCCGCAAGAAGCUUUCAGUAAAGUCCUCAAGUGUUUGCCCUAUCUCCGUAUCACAUGUGUCUUCAUUCU
Long non-coding RNA from Dicentrarchus labrax (European seabass), 619 nucleotides. RefSeq lists it as uncharacterized. NCBI's taxonomy places the organism in Eukaryota, Metazoa, Chordata, Actinopteri, Moronidae. The transcript has 4 exons. The record is from RefSeq and is a predicted model, not a curated record.